RNAcentral lists this ribosomal RNA (464 nucleotides) under uncultured bacterium. RNAcentral's name for it is "partial 16S ribosomal RNA". It matches the Rfam family "Bacterial small subunit ribosomal RNA", at positions 339 to 795 of the family's 1533-position model. The record is from RNAcentral.
CUACGGGCUGCUGCAGUGGGGAAUAUUGCACAAUGAGCGAAAGCUUGAUGCAGCCAUACCGCGUGUGUGAAGAAGGCCCGAGGGUUGUAAAGCACUUUCAAUUGUGAGGAAGAUAGUAUAGUUAAUACCUGUAUUGUUUGACGUUAACUUUAGAAGAAGCACCGGCUAACUCUGUGCCAGCAGCCGCGGUAAUACAGAGGGUGCAAGCGUUAUUCGGAAUUACUGGGCGUAAAGCGCGCGUAGGCGGACUAUUAAGUCAGUUGUGAAAGCCCUGGGCUCAACCUGGGAACUGCAUCUGAUAAUGGUAGUCUAGAGUUUAAGAGAGGGAAGUGGAAUUCCAGGUGUAGCAGUGAAAUGCGUAGAUAUCUGGAGGAACAUCAGUGGCGAAGGCGACUUCCUGGCUUAAAACUGACGCUGAGGUGCGAAAGCGUGGGUAGCGAACGGGAUUAGAUACCCUCGUAGUC